This 301-nucleotide ribosomal RNA is filed under the name uncultured bacterium. Its description in RNAcentral is "partial 16S ribosomal RNA". It matches the Rfam family "Bacterial small subunit ribosomal RNA", at positions 509 to 807 of the family's 1533-position model. The record is from RNAcentral.
CAGUAGCCACGGUAAUACGGAGGAUCCAAGCGUUAUCCGGAAUCAUUGGGUUUAAAGGGUCCGUAGGCGGUUUAGUAAGUCAGUGGUGAAAGCCCAUCGCUCAACGGUGGAACGGCCAUUGAUACUGCUGAACUUGAAUUAUUAGGAAGUAACUAGAAUAUGUAGUGUAGCGGUGAAAUGCUUAGAGAUUACAUGGAAUACCAAUUGCGAAGGCAGGUUACUACUAAUUGAUUGACGCUGAUGGACGAAAGCGUGGGGAGCGAACAUGAUUAGAUACCCCUGUAGUCCCUGUCUCUUAUAC